GAUGAACGCUAGCUACAGGCUUAACACAUGCAAGUCGAGGGGUAACGAGAGGAAAGCUUGCUUUCCUUGUCGACGACCGGCGCACGGGUGAGUAACGCGUAUCCAACCUGCCCCCAACUAGGGAAUAACCUUGCGAAAGUAAGACUAAUACCCUAUAAUUUCCUCAGAUGUCAUCUGACGAGGAAUAAAGAUUUACCGGUUGUGGAUGGGGAUGCGUCUGAUUAGCUUGUUGGCGGGGUAACGGCCCACCAAGGCAACGAUCAGUAGGGGUUCUGAGAGGAAGGUCCCCCACAUUGGAACUGAGACACGGUCCAAACUCCUACGGGAGGCAGCAGUGAGGAAUAUUGGUCAAUGGGCGGAAGCCUGAACCAGCCAAGUAGCGUGCAGGAUGACGGCCCUAUGGGUCGUAAACUGCUUUUAUACAGGAAUAAAGUUAGCCACGUGUGGUUAUUUGUAGGUACUGUAUGAAUAAGGACCGGCUAAUUCCGUGCCAGCCGCCGCGGUAA
RNAcentral lists this ribosomal RNA (506 nucleotides) under uncultured bacterium. Its description in RNAcentral is "partial 16S ribosomal RNA". It matches the Rfam family "Bacterial small subunit ribosomal RNA", at positions 28 to 523 of the family's 1533-position model. The record is from RNAcentral.